AUGCCGCCGCAAGCCACCGCCUCGCAGCAGGGAGACUGCUGCCGCCACGGCCAGCUCCCCCGCUGGCACGGCGACGCCGGCGCCGAGGCGCUGCCCUUCUACGUGCCGCUGCGCAAGCGCCUCUCCGUGGACGGCAAGUCCCCGGCGCCGCGGAUAUGCAUCUGGGAGUGCGACGGCGAGGCCGGCGACAUCACCUGCGACAUCGUCCCCGCGCCCUUCCGCCGCAGCUGCAGCGCCAGGAUGACGAUGCAGCCGCCGGCCCCCUUCUUCCGGACGAUGACGCCGCCGCCGCCGAGGCCACAGAGGGUGCUGGAGGAGGAGGAGCGGCAGGAGGCCAGGAGGCCCGGGAAGGCCAUCCGCAAGGGCCACCGGAGCUACGGCCUCAUGCUCAACCUGCAGCUCGGCAUAAGUUAUUCGGUGGGGAAGUCGUCGGCGCUGCCGUUCAAGAAGCUCUUGGCAUCGGACUUCGACCCGCGGGAGAAGGUCUGGACGCGGUUCCCGCCGGAAGGCUCCAAGCUCACGCCGCCGCAUCACUCAAUGGAUUUCCGGUGGAAGGACUACUGCCCUGCCGUCUUCAGGCACCUGAGGAAAUUGUUUGGGGUUGACCCUGCGGACUACAUGCUUGCAAUCUGUGGCAACGACACGCUCCGGGAGCUGGCGUCCCCCGGUAAGAGCGGGAGCUGCUUCUUCAUCACCCAGGAUGAUCGGUUCAUGAUUAAAACAGUGAAGAAGGCUGAAGUGAAGGUUCUUAUUAGGAUGCUGCGGAGUUACUAUGAACACGUUCGUCUGCAUAAGUCCACCUUGUUGACAAGAUUCUGUGGCACGCAUUGCAUUAAGCAAGUUGGAUGUCCCAAGGUCCGGUUCGUUAUAAUGGGCAAUUUUUGCUGCUCGGAGUAUAAGAUUCACAGGCGUUUUGAUUUGAAAGGUUCCUCACAUGGUCGGACUAUCGACAAAACGGAGCGAAAGAUUGACGAAACCACUACUCUGAAGGACCUCGAUCUUGAUUAUGCAUUUCGGCUGCAAAGAUUUUGGUACGAGGAACUUAUGAAGCAAAUUCAGAUGGACUGCGUAUUCUUGGAGACACAAGGAAUUAUGGACUACAGCCUAUUGUUAGGAGUUCACUUUCGUAAUGAUUUGUCUGUGUCUAAGAUAGGCCUCUCUCAGCCCAUUGCUCUGCCAAAAUCUACUGGCAAAAGAAAAUCAUUUGAAGGCGGAGGCAAUUUUUGUGAGCAAUGCUUUAUGGAAACAGGAUGCAAAGAGAGGGAUUUGAUCACAGAAUCCCGGAGGCCAUUUGUGCAGCUGGGCAUGAACAUGCCCGCCCAGGCAGAGCGCAGCUCGAAGAGAAUACUCGACAAGUUCCUUUUGAACGAGAGGCACCUGUUCAUAACAGCGCCGAGCGGGGGACCGUGUGAUGUCUACCUCUUCUUCGGAAUAAUCGACAUCCUACAAGACUACGACAUAACCAAGAAGCUGGAGCACGCCUACAAGUCUUUCCAGGUCAACCCUGGCCGCAUUUCUGCCGUGGAUCCCAAGCUCUACUCGAGGAGGUUCCAGGAUUUCAUUCGCAGGGUGUUCCUGAAACAACAGCAUUGA
Molecule: ribosomal RNA, 1593 nt
Filed under: Triticum aestivum (bread wheat)
Lineage: Eukaryota; Viridiplantae; Streptophyta; Magnoliopsida; Poales; Poaceae
Description: partial small subunit ribosomal RNA
Source: RNAcentral